GCCCCUGUCGUUCAACGGUUAGGACUUCUGCCUUCGAAGCAGAAGAUUGAGGUUCGAUUCCUCACGGGGGCA
Molecule: transfer RNA, 72 nt
Filed under: bacterium
Lineage: Bacteria
Description: tRNA-Arg
Rfam family: tRNA
About the family: Transfer RNA (tRNA) molecules are approximately 80 nucleotides in length. Their secondary structure includes four short double-helical elements and three loops (D, anti-codon, and T loops).
Source: RNAcentral